GGCAUGGUGGUUCUAACCCACGGCGUUAGCUUGUGUGUGUUGGACUCUGUCUGCCAUCCUUCUAGAGAGCGGCGCUACCCUCACGGGCCGGCGUCUGCCAUCUAGAUCUUUUACUUUGAAAAAAUUAGAGUGUUUCAAGCAGGCGUUUGCUAUGAAUACAUUAGCAUGGAAUAAUCAACUAGGACUUCGGUCUGAUUUUGUUGGUUUCUAGGACUGAAGUA
RNAcentral lists this ribosomal RNA (221 nucleotides) under uncultured fungus. RNAcentral describes it as "partial small subunit ribosomal RNA". The stretch from base 100 to 221 matches the Rfam family "Eukaryotic small subunit ribosomal RNA", at positions 741 to 864 of the family's 1831-position model. Lineage: Eukaryota; Fungi. The record is from RNAcentral.